RNAcentral lists this small nuclear RNA (134 nucleotides) under Rattus norvegicus (Norway rat). Its description in RNAcentral is "U4 spliceosomal RNA". It matches the Rfam family "U4 spliceosomal RNA". From Rfam's summary of the family: U4 small nuclear RNA (U4 snRNA) is a component of the major U2-dependent spliceosome. The structure of U4 snRNA from yeast and human has been reported. U4 snRNA presents a k-turn RNA motif in the 5p-SL related to recognition of Snu13 protein. Lineage: Eukaryota; Metazoa; Chordata; Mammalia; Rodentia; Muridae. The record is from Rfam by way of RNAcentral.
AGCCCUGUCUUGAAAAAUUGUAGCCAAGGUUUAUCCAUGGUGUGAUUAUUGCUAAUUGAAAACUUUCCCAAUACCCAGCCAUGAUGAUUUGCAAUAUAGUCUACAUUGUCAGUGUUUGACAGUCUCUACAGAGA